AGCAGCCGCGGUAAUUCCAGCUCCAAUAGCGUAUAUUAAAGUUGUUGCAGUUAAAAAGCUCGUAGUUGAAUUUCGGGAUCAAUAUGUUGGUCGUGCCUUGGUACGUACUAAUUUAUUGGUUUCUUCCUUCUGACGAACCUUGAUGUCAUUAAUUUGGUGUCUUGGGGAAUCAGGACUGUUACUUUGAAAAAUUAGAGUGUUUAAAGCAAGCUUACGCUUGAAUACAUUAGCAUGGAAUAAUGAAAUAGGACGUUUGAUUCUAUUUUGUUGGUUUCUAGGAUCGACGUAAUGAUUAAUAGGGAUAGUUGGGGGCAUUAGUAUUCAAUUGUCAGAGGUGAAAUUCUUGGAUUUAUUGAAGACUAACUACUGCGAAAGCAUUUGCCAAGGAUGUUUUCAUUAAUCAAGAACGAAAGU
Molecule: ribosomal RNA, 414 nt
Filed under: uncultured Glomus
Lineage: Eukaryota; Fungi; Glomeromycota; Glomeromycetes; Glomerales; Glomeraceae
Description: SSU rRNA
Rfam family: Eukaryotic small subunit ribosomal RNA
Source: RNAcentral